UGUGUGUGGUUGGUGGUUGUUGGUUGGAUCAGUCAGUGUGUGUGGGUGCGUGUUGUGUACUCAGUACUCGUGAUGUGUGUGUGUGUCAAUGUGUCAACCCUGGUCUUCGGUGGGGGCAGCACCGAGUUGCCACCUGCCAUUCCAUUUCCAUUCCGGGCGAUGAAUAAAUUAAAAAAGAGUCUCAUUUGUUUAAAUACGGACCGUCUACCAAACACUCACAAGGGUACGCUGGUGCGGAAGCAGACCGUCUUUGCGAUCCGCUAAAUCGUCGGAUUCUCGCUAUGUUUUAAGUUUUUUUUUUCAAGUGUGUCUAGGGCACAUCUAGAUGUGCU
Molecule: long non-coding RNA, 332 nt
Filed under: Triticum aestivum (bread wheat)
Lineage: Eukaryota; Viridiplantae; Streptophyta; Magnoliopsida; Poales; Poaceae
Description: long non-coding RNA (TAES_LNC006251)
Source: RNAcentral